GACGAACGCUGGCGGCGUGCUUAACACAUGCAAGUCGAGCGGUAAGGCCCUUUCGGGGUACGACGAGCGGCGAACGGGUGAGUAACACGUGGGUGACCUGCCCUUAGCUCUGGGAUAAGCCUGGGAAACUGGGUCUAAUACCGGAUAUGACUCCAUGACGCAUGUUGUGGGGUGGAAAGCCUUGUGCGGCUAGGGAUGGGCCCGCGGCCUAUCAGCUUGUUGGUGGGUGACGGCCACCAAGGCGACGACGGUAGCCGGCCUGAGAGGGCGACCGGCCACACUGGGACUGAGACAC
RNAcentral lists this ribosomal RNA (295 nucleotides) under uncultured bacterium. RNAcentral describes it as "partial 16S ribosomal RNA". It matches the Rfam family "Bacterial small subunit ribosomal RNA", at positions 28 to 327 of the family's 1533-position model. The record is from RNAcentral.